GAACACAAAAUGGCGACACGUGGUUAGCAUUCGUCGCCAACGAGAAAUUGGGGUCGGCCCGAAAGCUCUAGAAUGCACCCCUCUUCCUCCCCGGGGCCUUCCACCUCCGCGAGUUUUAUGACUUAAAAAAGCCCACAGGCUGGUCUGAAGAGGAAGACAAACAUAAAGAUGAAGUGCUUAAUUCAAGGUCACACAAUGUCGGGGAUGGACCUCCAGAUUUCCUUACUGGUGAGACGUGGUCUUGUAACACAGUGGUUAAGAAUGUGACUUUGGAGCCAGCCUGCUAGGGGCUGAAUUCUGACUCAGCCAUUUACUAACUGUGUGACCUUAGGUCACAGAAUUUUCCACACUCCUUGACAGAGGUGCUUAACCCUUAUCCAUCAGCAUUCUCAGACAGCACCUCCGGUUAGGGACAGUAUCUGACCGUCCGACAUCCCUGCAGCCCCCAUGUGUCACACAGACUCAGCCUCAGGUAGAUGGUUUCCGUAGAUGGUGGCUUUCUUUGGACCCUUGACAUCAACCAGUUACUAUUUGGGGACCAGAUGUG
Molecule: long non-coding RNA, 547 nt
Filed under: Homo sapiens (human)
Lineage: Eukaryota; Metazoa; Chordata; Mammalia; Primates; Hominidae
Description: PCBP1 antisense RNA 1
Source: RNAcentral